This 102-nucleotide ribosomal RNA is filed under the name uncultured eukaryote. RNAcentral describes it as "partial small subunit ribosomal RNA". It matches the Rfam family "Eukaryotic small subunit ribosomal RNA", at positions 1676 to 1785 of the family's 1831-position model. The record is from RNAcentral.
UCGCUCCUACCGAUUGAGUGAUUCGGUGAACCUUCUGGACUAGAUGAGUCUUCAAGGCUUAUCUGGGAAGUUAAGUAAACCAUUAUCACUUAGAGGAAGGAG